UAAUAAGUGUUGAAUCUCUCCUCUAGCCCC
Molecule: non-coding RNA, 30 nt
Filed under: Mus musculus (house mouse)
Lineage: Eukaryota; Metazoa; Chordata; Mammalia; Rodentia; Muridae
Source: RNAcentral